AUAACCUGCCUCAUACAGGGGGAUAACACUUAGAAAUAGGUGCUAAUACCGCAUAAGCGCACAGCUUCGCAUGAAGCAGUGUGGAAAACAAAAAGCUAAAGCUUUUGGUGGUAUACGAUGGAUCCGCGUCUGAUUAGCUAGUUGGCGGGGUAAAGGCCCACCAAGGCGACGAUCAGUAGCCGGCCUGAGAGGGUGAACGGCCACAUUGGGACUGAGACACGGCCCAAACUCCUACGGGAGGCAGCAG
RNAcentral lists this ribosomal RNA (247 nucleotides) under uncultured bacterium. Its description in RNAcentral is "partial 16S ribosomal RNA". It matches the Rfam family "Bacterial small subunit ribosomal RNA", at positions 121 to 354 of the family's 1533-position model. The record is from RNAcentral.